Long non-coding RNA from Clupea harengus (Atlantic herring), 912 nucleotides. The record is from Ensembl. Lineage: Eukaryota; Metazoa; Chordata; Actinopteri; Clupeiformes; Clupeidae.
CCCUAUAUUUUGUCACAAAGUGUCUUUAUUUACAAAUCAUGAUGUACAAAUAAAACAAAAACAAAACAUUAGGUUACAAUGAAAAACGACAAACAAAGAACACCACCAGGUUUUGUUCAGUAACUUGUUUAGACAGAUAGAUGUGUAACGGACUCUAACCAGCCCGCUACAAUAAUUAUAAAUAAUUAUAAAUAAAAUGUCUCUGGGUGGUCAAAAGUACAUGCAGUGGAGUCGUGGACGUUAAUCUGUCACCACUUUAUUGCACCUGCAACACAGCAGUAAUGGGCGAUUACACACAAGGGUAGCAAUGCUGGUAUCCCUUUCAGACUUCCAGAGCAUGCUGUAACUUCAGCCUACCACCCGCAGCGCAAUGGGCAAGAUGAGCGCUCAAACCAGAACAUUAAGCGGCAUCUUGCAAAGUACUGUAAUGAGGAGCGGAAUGACUGGGACGUCUAUCUGCAACACGCUGUUUAUUCGAUAAACACCUCGAAGCAGCGUUCCACAAAGACACGCCCAAAGAUGUCGGCAUCGCUUCUGAUGUCCAGGAAUUGAGUGUAUUGUGCGACAUCUCGAUGGAAGCUGUAGGUGCUGAAUGUGCAGAUGUUGAUCACACAUUGGAAGUUGUCGUGCCACGUUUCGCGACUUAGACAGUCUGGCAGGCCCAGAGUUCAACUGGCUGACCGAUGAUAUUGUGAAUACGUGCGUUGCAGUGAUUGCUGCAGAUCACAAACAACGUUCCACUGUAAGUAGUUUCUAUUUUCUCUCUAGUCUGACAACUUACCAGUAUCUGUUAUUGUUUUGUAGAAGUUUACUCUGGUUUUUUUUUUGUUUUCACAGGACAAAGCCGUGUUCCACGCCCUUACCACAGACGCAUACACGUUGUGGUGUCGUGACUGGACAGCACAUAGUUGU